GAAAAAAAGCCGAGGAUAUUCUCUUCACAGUGAAGAUGAAGUACAUCCAAUUGCAGAGGUAUUACUGCGACAAUGCGUCUUGUGAUGCAAACGACGCUUCCUCACCUGCAAAGACUUCCGGCGAUCUUUUUGGACCAUCGAGUACUCAGAAGCGACAAAGACAUAUAACUACAGGUCAUUUUUCAACACACCGCUACAAUAUAACGUUAAAACUAGUAUCCAUCUUCAAAAUUUCUUAUUUUCGAUGCUUCCAACUGUAUCCCGUUGCCAAAAAGUUGUCCGCCAGAUCAAAUAUUCCAUCUAGUUACAG
RNAcentral lists this small RNA (310 nucleotides) under Histoplasma capsulatum var. duboisii H88. Its description in RNAcentral is "Histoplasma capsulatum H88 hypothetical RNA". Lineage: Eukaryota; Fungi; Ascomycota; Eurotiomycetes; Onygenales; Ajellomycetaceae. The record is from RNAcentral.